Long non-coding RNA from Neltuma alba, 714 nucleotides. RefSeq lists it as uncharacterized. Lineage: Eukaryota; Viridiplantae; Streptophyta; Magnoliopsida; Fabales; Fabaceae. The record is from RefSeq and is a predicted model, not a curated record. The transcript is spliced from 4 exons.
UAAAAAGAUGGUUAAGGACUUGACCAGAUGUCAACAACUUCGAUGCACUCCUGGAAGUUCAUAAUCUAUGUUCUGGAUGAUGUCAAAAGGAAAAGUUCAUGAUCCAGGGUCCCCUAGUCUGAGCAUUGAAGGUGCGGACCAUAGUAAAGCACCGAAAAAUUCUUUGUACUGUCCUCCGAUGUUAACUGACUGCAUGAUUACAAGAUGGAAUAUUUACUUCCCAGCAGAAAAAGGGAAGCUUGUGCUUUGCAUGGACUUCCAAAUGAAUCAUGGGAUGAAUCAUAGAGGAUGGCUUUCAUUGGGCUCACGCUUGGAGCUCCACUUCUCUGCAUCCUAUGCAGAAGAUUAGCCCAGAGCAGAAACAAUGGAUUGAACCACAAGAAUCUGAGACAAUUGAAUUUGAAAGACUUGUGAAUGAAGGGAUUCUUAGCCACCAUUCAAUUAUGUUGCAGUGGAAAGAGGGACUUGACAUCUCAAUCAAAAGCAUUGGAUUGAAUGGAAUUACCUUUACUGGUGAAAGAAUCGCGGUGGGACAUGGCUGAUCAGCUCAUGAAAACAACCGGUCCUUGCAUUCCAAAUUCCCCAUAGGUUAUCCAACAAAGAUAAAUUCAAGAAUCAUGAUAGGCAUCUCUCUCUCUCUGUGUAUCUCAAAAGUGGAAAAGCCAGCUAAUGACGUUAUGUUUUUUAUUGAACAGCACCCUAACAAGCAAAUAU